UCGAUUGAGUUUGAUCAUGGCUCAGGACGAACGCUGGCGGCGCGCUUAACACAUGCAAGUCGAACGUGAAGCCCGGGCUUGCCCGGGUGGAAAGUGGCGAACGGGUGCGUAACACGUGAGGAACGUGCCCCGAAGACCGGGAUAACUCGAGGAAACUCGUGCUAAUACCGGAUGUCCUCACCGGAUCGCAUGGUCUGGUGAGGAAAUGGAUUCCGCUUCGGGAUCGCCUCGCGGCCUAUCAGCUUGUUGGUGGGGUAAUGGCCUACCAAGGCAACGACGGGUAGCUGGUCUGAGAGGAUGUCCAGCCACACUGGGACUGAGACACGGCCCAGACUCCUACGGGAGGCAGCAGUGGGGAAUCUUGCACAAUGGGCGAAAGCCUGAUGCAGCGACGCCGCGUGCGGGAUGAAGGCCCUCGGGUCGUAAACCGCUUUCAGCAGGGACGAUAGUGACGGUACCUGCAGAAGAAGCCCCGGCCAACUACGUGCCAGCAGCCGCGGUAAUACGUAGGGGGCAAGCGUUGUCCGGAUUUAUUGGGCGUAAAGAGCUCGUAGGCGGUUCGAUAAGUCGGGUGUGAAAUCUCCAGGCUCAACCUGGAGGCGCCACUCGAUACUGUCGUGACUUGAGUUCGGUAGAGGAGUAUGGAAUUCCCGGUGUAGCGGUGAAAUGCGCAGAUAUCGG
This 681-nucleotide ribosomal RNA is filed under the name uncultured bacterium. Its description in RNAcentral is "bacterial SSU rRNA". It matches the Rfam family "Bacterial small subunit ribosomal RNA", at positions 1 to 700 of the family's 1533-position model. The record is from RNAcentral.